RNAcentral lists this ribosomal RNA (304 nucleotides) under uncultured bacterium. RNAcentral describes it as "partial 16S ribosomal RNA". It matches the Rfam family "Bacterial small subunit ribosomal RNA", at positions 509 to 807 of the family's 1533-position model. The record is from RNAcentral.
CAGCAGUCGCCGCGGUAAUACGUAGGUGGCAAGCGUUGUCCGGAAUUAUUGGGCGUAAAGGGCUCGCAGGCGGUUUCUUAAGUCUGAUGUGAAAGCCCCCGGCUCAACCGGGGAGGGUCAUUGGAAACUGGGAAACUUGAGUGCAGAAGAGGAGAGUGGAAUUCCACGUGUAGCGGUGAAAUGCGUAGAGAUGUGGAGGAACACCAGUGGCGAAGGCGACUCUCUGGUCUGUAACUGACGCUGAGGAGCGAAAGCGUGGGGAGCGAACAGGAUUAGAUACCCCCGUAGUCCCUGUCUCUUAUAC